This 484-nucleotide ribosomal RNA is filed under the name uncultured bacterium. RNAcentral's name for it is "partial 16S ribosomal RNA". It matches the Rfam family "Bacterial small subunit ribosomal RNA", at positions 30 to 507 of the family's 1533-position model. The record is from RNAcentral.
AUUGAACGCUGGCGGCAGGCCUAACACAUGCAAGUCGAGCGGAUGAAGGGAGCUUGCUCCUGGAUUCAGCGGCGGACGGGUGAGUAAUGCCUAGGAAUCUGCCUGGUAGUGGGGGAUAACGUCCGGAAACGGGCGCUAAUACCGCAUACGUCCUGAGGGAGAAAGUGGGGGAGCUUCGGACCUCACGCUAUCAGAUGAGCCUAGGUCGGAUUAGCUAGUUGGUGGGGUAAAGGCCUACCAAGGCGACGAUCCGUAACUGGUCUGAGAGGAUGAUCAGUCACACUGGAACUGAGACACGGUCCAGACUCCUACGGGAGGCAGCAGUGGGGAAUAUUGGACAGUGGGCGAAAGCCUGAUCCAGCCAUGCCGCGUGUGUGAAGAAGGUCUUCGGAUUGUAAAGCACUUUAAGUUGGGAAGAAGGGUAGUAAGUUAAUACCUUGCUGUUUUGACGUUACCAACAGAAUAAGCACCGGCUAACUUCGUG